Molecule: ribosomal RNA, 460 nt
Filed under: Anisakis simplex (herring worm)
Lineage: Eukaryota; Metazoa; Nematoda; Chromadorea; Rhabditida; Anisakidae
Description: eukaryotic LSU rRNA
Rfam family: 5.8S ribosomal RNA (bases 1-126)
Source: RNAcentral
UGGAUCGAUGAAGAACGCAGCCAGCUGCGAUAAAUAGUGCGAAUUGCAGACACAUUGAGCACUAAGAAUUCGAACGCACAUUGCGCUAUCGGGUUCAUUCCCGAUGGCACGUCUGGCUGAGGGUCGAAUUACGGUGAACUGUCUUCACGGUUUUUCUGGACUGUGAAGCAUUCGGCAAGCAAUUGCUGUUGUGUUGUUGGUGAUUCUAUCAUGGACAAUAUGACGAGCGGUUCCUUGCUUAGUGAUGACAAAAGAAGACGUCAACACCGAAUCUACUAUACUACUAAUACUAGUAUAUAGGUGAGGUGCUUUUGGUGGUCACAAAAGUGACAAGUAUGCCAUUUCAUAGGGGCAACAACCAGCAUACGUGAUAAGUUGGCUGGUUGAUGAAACGGCAACGGAAUGACGGACGUCUAUGUGAUCAAAAAUGAUACUAUUUGACCUCAGCUCAGUCGUGAUU